UAACACGUGGAUAACCUACCUAUAAGACUGGGAUAACUUCGGGAAACCGGAGCUAAUACCAGAUAAUAUUUUGAACCGCAUGGUUCAAAAGUGAAAGACGGUCUUGCUGUCACUUAUAGAUGGAUCCGCGCUGCAUUAGCUAGUUGGUAAGGUAACGGCUUACCAAGGCAACGAUGCAUAGCCGACCUGAGAGGGUGAUCGGCCACACUGGAACUGAGACACGGUCCAG
This 229-nucleotide ribosomal RNA is filed under the name uncultured Staphylococcus sp. Its description in RNAcentral is "partial 16S ribosomal RNA". It matches the Rfam family "Bacterial small subunit ribosomal RNA", at positions 111 to 334 of the family's 1533-position model. The record is from RNAcentral. Lineage: Bacteria; Bacillati; Bacillota; Bacilli; Caryophanales; Staphylococcaceae.